UACGUAGGGUGCGAGCGUUAAUCGGAAUUACUGGGCGUAAAGCGUGCGCAGGCGGUUCGUUAAGUUCGUUGUGAAAGCCCCGGGCUCAACCUGGGAAUGGCAAUGGAAACUGGCGGGCUGGAGUGCGGCAGAGGGGGGUGGAAGUCCGCGUGUAGCAGUGAAAUGCGUAGAGAUGCGGAGGAACACCGAUGGCGAAGGCAGCCCCCUGGGCCGACACUGACGCUCAGGCACGAAAGCGUGGGGAGCAAACAGG
Molecule: ribosomal RNA, 253 nt
Filed under: uncultured bacterium
Lineage: Bacteria
Description: partial 16S ribosomal RNA
Rfam family: Bacterial small subunit ribosomal RNA
Source: RNAcentral